UUUAGUAUGUCGUCCAAAAUGUGACAAAAACGUCAUAGUUUAGUAUGUCGUCCAAAAUGUGACAAAAACGUCAUAGUUUAGUAUGUCGUCCAAAAUGUGACAAAAACGUCAUAGUUUAGUAUGUCGUCCAAAAUGUGACAAAAACGUCAUAGUUUAGUAUGUCGUCCAAAAUGUGACAAAAACGUCAUAGUUUAGUAUGUCGUCCAAAAUGUGACAAAAACGUCAUAGUUUAGUAUGUCGUCCAAAAUGUGACAAAAACAUCAUAGUUUAGUAUGUCGUCCAAAAUGUGACAAAAACAUCAUAGUUUAGUAUGUCGUCCAAAAAAUGAC
Acanthochromis polyacanthus (spiny chromis) is the source of this 329-nucleotide long non-coding RNA. RefSeq lists it as uncharacterized. Lineage: Eukaryota; Metazoa; Chordata; Actinopteri; Pomacentridae. The transcript is spliced from 3 exons. The record is from RefSeq and is a predicted model, not a curated record.